UACGAAGGGGGCUAGCGUUGUUCGGAAUUACUGGGCGUAAAGGGCGCGUAGGCGGCCCGCUAAGUCGAACGUGAAAUCCCCGAGCUCAACUCGGGAACUGCGUCCGAUACUGGUGGGCUUGAAUCCGGGAGAGGGAUGCGGAAUUCCAGGUGUAGCGGUGAAAUGCGUAGAUAUCUGGAGGAGCACCGGUGGCGAAGGCGGCAUCCUGGACCGGCAUUGACGCUGAGGCGCGAAAGCUAGGGGAGCAAACGGG
This 253-nucleotide ribosomal RNA is filed under the name uncultured bacterium. Its description in RNAcentral is "partial 16S ribosomal RNA". It matches the Rfam family "Bacterial small subunit ribosomal RNA", at positions 524 to 776 of the family's 1533-position model. The record is from RNAcentral.